UUGAACGCUGGCGGCAGGCCUAACACAUGCAAGUCGAGCGGAUGAAGGGAGCUUGCUCCUGGAUUCAGCGGCGGACGGGUGAGUAAUGCCUAGGAAUCUGCCUGUUAGUGGGGGAUAACGUCCGGAAACGGGCGCUAAUACCGCAUCCGUCCUGAGGGAGAAAGUGGGGGAUCUUCGGCCCUCACGCUGUCAGAUGAGCCUAGGUCGGAUUAGCUAGUUGGUGGGGUAAAGGCCUACCAAGGCGACGAUCCGUAACUGGUCUGAGAGGAUGAUCAGUCACACUGGAACUGAGACACGGUCCAGACUCCUACGGGAGGCAGCAGUGGGGAAUAUUGGACAAUGGGCGAAAGCCUGAUCCAGCCAUGCCGCGUGUGUGAAGAAGGUCUUCGGAUUGUAAAGCACUUUAAGUUGGGAGGAAGGGCAGUAAGUUAAUACCUUGCUGUUUUGACGUUACCAACAGAAUAAGCACCGGCUAACUUCGUG
Molecule: ribosomal RNA, 483 nt
Filed under: uncultured bacterium
Lineage: Bacteria
Description: partial 16S ribosomal RNA
Rfam family: Bacterial small subunit ribosomal RNA
Source: RNAcentral